This 436-nucleotide ribosomal RNA is filed under the name uncultured Lachnospiraceae bacterium. RNAcentral's name for it is "partial 16S ribosomal RNA". It matches the Rfam family "Bacterial small subunit ribosomal RNA", at positions 341 to 792 of the family's 1533-position model. Lineage: Bacteria; Bacillati; Bacillota; Clostridia; Lachnospirales; Lachnospiraceae. The record is from RNAcentral. RNAcentral also lists the same sequence under 1 other name.
ACGGGAGGCAGCAGUGGGGGAUAUUGCACAAUGGGGGAAACCCUGAUGCAGCGACGCCGCGUGAGUGAAGAAGUAUUUCGGUAUGUAAAGCUCUAUCAGCAGGGAAGAAGAAAUGACGGUACCUGACUAAGAAGCCCCGGCUAACUACGUGCCAGCAGCCGCGGUAAUACGUAGGGGGCAAGCGUUAUCCGGAUUUACUGGGUGUAAAGGGAGCGCAGACGGUCAUGCAAGUCAGGAGUGAAAUCCCCGGGCCCAACCCGGGAACUGCUCUUGAAACUGUAGGACUGGAGUGCCGGAGAGGUAAGCGGAAUUCCUAGUGUAGCGGUGAAAUGCGUAGAUAUUAGGAGGAACACCAGUGGCGAAGGCGGCUUACUGGACGGUAACUGACGUUGAGGCUCGAAAGCGUGGGGAGCAAACAGGAUUAGAUACCCUGGUA